UAGUAACGGCGAGUGAAGCGGGAUGAGCUCAAGCUUAAAAUCUCUGUGCCAGUUUGGCAUGGCGAAUUGUAGUCUAUAGAGGCGUUGUCAGUGCGGCUGUGCGGGGUAAGUUCCUUGGAAGAGGACAGCAUCGAGGGUGAUACUCCCGUUUGUACCUGUGCGGCUUGCGCGUACGACACGUUUUCUUCGAGUCGCGUUGUUUGGGACUGCAGCGCAAAGUAGGUGGUAAAUUCCAUCUAAAGCUAAAUAUUGGUGCGAGACCGAUAGCGAACAAGUACCGUGAGGGAAAGAUGAAAAGAACUUUGAAAAGAGAGUUAAAGAGUACCUGAAACUGCUGAAAGGGAAGCGAAUCGUAUCCAGUGUCUAUAAUCUGCGGCAUAUUUCAUUGGCGGCGGUGCGCGUGCUUUUGCGUCGGAAGCGGCUUUUGUUGCUCUGUGCUUUUGCUGUGCGUGUUGUUGCUGGUGCCCUGUGUUGCGGUGGGACGUCAGAGUCAGUUUGUAUGCUGCGGGAAAUGGCUGCCGAGGAGGUAGGUCAGGAUUUCGGUCUUGGCUGUUAUAUCUUGGUGGUUUGUUGUCGUGGUUGAGACUGAGGUGCCUACAAUGUGCUUUUGAGUGUGCCGGGUUCUCAUUUGGUGGACUGUUUGGAUAGCUUGCUAUGCUUGUGGUUUUUUCAUCGGGUGAUUGAGUCUGGUGGUAACUUAUUGCCGUUC
RNAcentral lists this ribosomal RNA (709 nucleotides) under Globisporangium intermedium. RNAcentral's name for it is "partial 28S rRNA". It matches the Rfam family "Eukaryotic large subunit ribosomal RNA", at positions 81 to 628 of the family's 3401-position model. Lineage: Eukaryota; Oomycota; Peronosporomycetes; Pythiales; Pythiaceae. The record is from RNAcentral.